RNAcentral lists this ribosomal RNA (422 nucleotides) under uncultured bacterium. Its description in RNAcentral is "bacterial SSU rRNA". It matches the Rfam family "Bacterial small subunit ribosomal RNA", at positions 355 to 774 of the family's 1533-position model. The record is from RNAcentral.
UAAGGAAUAUUGGACAAUGGACGCAAGUCUGAUCCAGCCAUGCCGCGUGAAGGAUGAAUGCCCUCUGGGUUGUAAACUUCUUUUAUAGGGGAAGAAAGAUACUUUUUUUAAGGUAGUUGACGGUACCCUAUGAAUAAGCACCGGCUAACUCCGUGCCAGCAGCCGCGGUAAUACGGAGGGUGCAAGCGUUAUCCAGAUUUACUGGGUUUAACGGGUGCGUAGGCGGGCAUGUAAGUCAGUGGUGAAAUACCGGAGCUUAACUUCGGAACUGCCAUUGAUACUAUAUGUCUUGAAUAUUGUGGAGGUAAGCGGAAUAUGUCAUGUAGCGGUGAAAUACAGAGAUAUGACAUAGAACACCGAUUGCGGAGGCAGCUUGCUACGCAAAUAUUGACGCUGAGGCACGAAAGCGUGGGGAUCAAACA